This 339-nucleotide ribosomal RNA is filed under the name Triticum aestivum (bread wheat). RNAcentral's name for it is "partial small subunit ribosomal RNA". The record is from RNAcentral. Lineage: Eukaryota; Viridiplantae; Streptophyta; Magnoliopsida; Poales; Poaceae.
AUGAUAGUAAUGCAUGAGUUGCCUUUCUCAAUAGUUGAGUACAGUGGUUUUAGAGACUUCGUGAAAAGUUUAAAUCCCUUGUUCAAAAAUGUUUUUAGAAAUACUAUUAAAGAGGAGUGUAUGAAACACUAUAAUUUGGAGAGGUCAGUGUUCUCUGAACAUUUGAAGAAAUACAGUGGUAGAGUUGCUUUAACAGCGGACAUGUGGACAUCUAAUCAGACUUUGUCCUAUCUAUGCAUCACUUGCCAUUUGAUCACCAGCAAAUGGAUUUUGCAAAAGAGGAUCUUCAGAUUUUUUAUGGUGGAGACUGAUGUCUACUACUCAACCUUCUUCUUGUAG